GUGAGGAAUUUUCCGCAAUGGGCGAAAGCCUGACGGAGCAAUGCCGCGUGAAGGAUGAAGGCCUAUGGGUUGUAAACUUCUUUUCUCAGAAAAGAAUUAUGACGGUAUCUGAGGAAUAAGCAUCGGCUAACUCUGUGCCAGCAGCCGCGGUAAGACAGAGGAUGCAAGCGUUAUCCGGAAUGAUUGGGCGUAAAGCGUCUGUAGGUUGUUUAAAAAGUAUUCUGUCAAAGAUUAGGGCUUAACCCUAGAUAGGCAGAAUAAACUUUUAAGCUAGAGUUUGGUAGAGGCAGAGGGAAUUCCCGGUGGAGCGGUGAGAUGCGUAGAUAUCGGGAGGAACACCAAAGGCGAAGGCACUCUGCUGGGCCAAUACUAACACUGAGAGACGAAAGCGAGGGGAGCAAAUGGGAUUAGAUACCCGGGUAGUCC
This 426-nucleotide ribosomal RNA is filed under the name uncultured bacterium. RNAcentral's name for it is "partial 16S ribosomal RNA". It matches the Rfam family "Bacterial small subunit ribosomal RNA", at positions 354 to 796 of the family's 1533-position model. The record is from RNAcentral.